CUCCAGAACAUAAGGGCGAAG
This 21-nucleotide microRNA is filed under the name Cordylochernes scorpioides. The record is from RNAcentral. Lineage: Eukaryota; Metazoa; Arthropoda; Arachnida; Pseudoscorpiones; Chernetidae.